RNAcentral lists this ribosomal RNA (369 nucleotides) under Klebsiella quasipneumoniae subsp. similipneumoniae. RNAcentral's name for it is "partial 23S ribosomal RNA". It matches the Rfam family "Bacterial large subunit ribosomal RNA", at positions 1574 to 1923 of the family's 2925-position model. Lineage: Bacteria; Pseudomonadati; Pseudomonadota; Gammaproteobacteria; Enterobacterales; Enterobacteriaceae. The record is from RNAcentral.
GCACUACGGUGCUGAAGUAACAAAUGCCCUGCUUCCAGGAAAAGCCUCUAAGCAUCAGGUAACAUCAAAUCGUACCCCAAACCGACACAGGUGGUCAGGUAGAGAAUACCAAGGCGCUUGAGAGAACUCGGGUGAAGGAACUAGGCAAAAUGGUGCCGUAACUUCGGGAGAAGGCACGCUGGUGUGUAGGUGAAGUCCCUGCGGAUGGAGCUGAGACCAGUCGAAGAUACCAGCUGGCUGCAACUGUUUAUUAAAAACACAGCACUGUGCAAACACGAAAGUGGACGUAUACGGUGUGACGCCUGCCCGGUGCCGGAAGGUUAAUUGAUGGGGUUAUCCGUAAGGAGAAGCUCUUGAUCGAAGCCCCGG